ACCUGGUUGAUCCUGCCAGUAGUCAUAUGCUUGUCUCAAAGGCUAAGCCAUGCAUGUGUAAGUAUGCGCCUUUAUGGCGAAACUGCGAAUGGCUCAUUAAAACAGUUAUAGUUUAUUUGAUAAUGAAUAUUACAUGGAUAACUGUAGUAACCUGGAGCUAAUACAUGCGUAAAACUCUGACUUUUUUGGAAGGAGUGUGUAUAUUAGUUGUAGAAUCUUUCCUGGUCUGCCAGGAGUAUCAUGGUGAAUCAUUAUAUCCAAACGGACCGCAUGACUUAUGUCGGCGGCAAAUCAUUCAAGUUUCUGACCUAUCAGCCUGACGGUAGGGUAUUGGCCUACCGUAGCUUUGACGGGUAACGGAGAAUUAGGGUUCGAUUCCGGAGAGGGAGCCUGAGAAAUGGCUACCACAUCUAAGGAUGGCAGCAGGCGCGCAAAUUACCCAAUUCUGACACAGAGAGGUAGUGACAAGAAAUAGCAAUUCGAAGCAUUUAGUUUUGAUUCUGCAAUGAGUGGGAUUUAAAUAUCCUCACGAGAAACAAUUGGAGGGCAAGUCUGGUGCCAGCAGCCGCGGUAAUUCCAGCUCCAAUAGCGUAUACUAAAGUUGUUGCGGUUAAAAAGCUCGUAGUUGGAUUUCUGCAGAAAUCGACCGUUGUUACUUCCGUAUUGGUUGUUCAACUGGUUUUCGAUGGACGCAUUUAGGCUUUUAAUGGCGAAACGGUACUUCACUGAACUGUUUGCCUGGAGCCGAUUUUACCUUGAGGAAAUUAGAGUG
This 772-nucleotide ribosomal RNA is filed under the name uncultured eukaryote. RNAcentral describes it as "bacterial SSU rRNA". It matches the Rfam family "Eukaryotic small subunit ribosomal RNA", at positions 1 to 773 of the family's 1831-position model. The record is from RNAcentral.